UACGUAGGGUGCGAGCGUUGUCCGGAAUUAUUGGGCGUAAAGAGCUCGUAGGCGGUUCAGCAAGUCGGGUGUGAAAACUCUGGGCUCAACCCAGAGAUGCCACCCGAUACUGCUGUGACUAGAGUCCGGUAGGGGAGUGGGGAAUUCCUGGUGUAGCGGUGAAAUGCGCAGAUAUCAGGAGGAACACCGGUGGCGAAGGCGCCACUCUGGGCCGGCACUGACGCUGAGGAGCGAAAGCGUGGGUAGCAAACAGG
RNAcentral lists this ribosomal RNA (254 nucleotides) under uncultured bacterium. RNAcentral's name for it is "partial 16S ribosomal RNA". It matches the Rfam family "Bacterial small subunit ribosomal RNA", at positions 524 to 776 of the family's 1533-position model. The record is from RNAcentral.